RNAcentral lists this unclassified non-coding RNA (405 nucleotides) under Hevea brasiliensis (rubber tree). Lineage: Eukaryota; Viridiplantae; Streptophyta; Magnoliopsida; Malpighiales; Euphorbiaceae. The record is from RNAcentral.
CAGUACUUGAACCUUCUGAAUACUAUGCUCGUGGCUAUCAGUCCGUUCCAGGUUAUGUGAUUGAUGAGAGGAGACCUGUAACAGAGCCCCGCCUUCCUUUCGGUAUUGGUCUUGGCUGGUUCUUGUUCAUUAUUGGUUUCUUUCUUGCUGGCUUCCCUUGGUAUGUUGCUGCAUUUAUCCCGCUUUGCAACAGAUCAAUUGAUCAUCGAGAGAAAUCAGGAUUCGUUGCAUGCACCAUUGCUGCUGUUCUCGCUGUAAUUGGUAAUAUCGUAUUUGGGUUGACAUGGAUAUUAUUAACAGCAUAAUGGUGAUCAACUUCUGUGGAGUAUUCGUGUUCUAGCUAGUUUGCUUGAUUAAUGCACAUUUUAUUCAGAACAUUUCUGUAAAACAAAAGUUACAUGUUAU